RNAcentral lists this ribosomal RNA (253 nucleotides) under uncultured bacterium. RNAcentral describes it as "partial 16S ribosomal RNA". It matches the Rfam family "Bacterial small subunit ribosomal RNA", at positions 524 to 776 of the family's 1533-position model. The record is from RNAcentral.
UACGGAGGGGGCUAGCGUUGUUCGGAAUUACUGGGCGUAAAGCGCACGUAGGCGGCUUUGCAAGUCAGAGGUGAAAGCCCGGGGCUCAACCCCGGAAUUGCCUUUGAGACUGCAUCGCUAGAAUUGUGGAGAGGUAAGUGGAAUUCCGAGUGUAGAGGUGAAAUUCGUAGAUAUUCGGAAGAACACCAGUGGCGAAGGCGACUUACUGGUCCAUGACUGACGCUGAGGCUCGAAAGCGUGGGGAGCAAACAGG